UCGAACACCGAUACAUCGCUAGAUACGAAUGCACCGGACGUCUUAUCCUUUAGGCCACGACUACUUCAAGUUACGAAUUAUGAUGAUAAUUAAGAUUACCGUAUUUAUUAUAAUAAUUACAAUAAUAAAAAAAACGAUAACAAAUUAUACUAACAAUCAUUAUUUUAUUGUUUAUUAUUUAUUUUUGCGUUAAAGUAACAAAUGCAUUUUAAUAUUUUUAGAUUGUACUUGCAAUUGUACUUUUAAAAUUUUAUGAUUCUCGCCAACAUGCGACUAAAUUAUUUUUUCUAGUUACUUACGGUCAUUUCAUAAUAAAGCUAAAUCUACGAUUAGGCUGUAACGUAGAAAUAUUCAAAACAUUUAAAAUUCUCUAUUAAUGAUAAAGUAUAAAAUAGAAUUGUAAUGAAAUUUUACGAGGCAUUCUUUGGCGGUAUCGGUGUAGACUUGAUCUUCUUACAGAAUAUUUACAAAAAAAAACCAUGGAUUCAGUUGCGUUCCUAGUUUGUAUGUCCGCAUUUGUAGCGGCCAUGAUCCAGAUCGAGAUUUCCGGGUCAUUAGUUAAUAUUAUUAGCGAUCUGCUCGAGGGCGUAACUGAAGCGCUUUAAAAUAAAUAUAUCCUGAAUCAA
Bombyx mori (domestic silkworm) is the source of this 626-nucleotide long non-coding RNA. RefSeq lists it as uncharacterized. The record is from RefSeq and is a predicted model, not a curated record. The transcript has 2 exons. Lineage: Eukaryota; Metazoa; Arthropoda; Insecta; Lepidoptera; Bombycidae.